Molecule: ribosomal RNA, 461 nt
Filed under: uncultured bacterium
Lineage: Bacteria
Description: bacterial SSU rRNA
Rfam family: Bacterial small subunit ribosomal RNA
Source: RNAcentral
AGUUUACUAAGUGGAUUAGUGGCGCACGGGUGAGUAAUAUAUAGAUAACGUGCCUCUUAGUCUGGGAUAGCCAUUGGAAACGAUGAUUAAUACUAGAUACUCCUUCUCUUUAUAAUUAGAGUCGGGAAAGUUUUUCGCUAAGAGAUCGGUCUAUAUCCCAUCAGCUUGUUGGUAGUGUAAGAGACUACCAAGGCAAUGACGGGUAGCGGGUUUGAGAGGAUGAUCCGCCACACUGGUACUGAGACACGGACCAGACUCCUACGGGAGGCAGCAGUGAGGAAUAUUGCACAAUGGAGGAAACUCUGAUGCAGCAACGCCGCGUGGAGGAUGACGCAUUUCGGUGUGUAAACUCCUUUUAUCAAGGAAGAAAAUGACGGUACUUGAUGAAUAAGCACCGGCUAACUCCGUGCCAGCAGCCGCGGUAAUACGGAGGGUGCAAGCGUUAUUCGGAAUCACUGGCC